CAGUAGCCGCGGGAAUACAGAGGGUGCAAGCGUUAAUCGGAAUUACUGGGCGUAAAGCGCGCGUAGGUGGUUUGUUAAGUUGGAUGUGAAAGCCCCGGGCUCAACCUGGGAACUGCAUCCAAAACUGGCAAGCUAGAGUACGGUAGAGGGUGGUGGAAUUUCCUGUGUAGCGGUGAAAUGCGUAAAUAUAGGAAGGAACACCAGUGGCGAAGGCGACCACCUGGACUGAUACUGACACUGAGGUGCGAAAGCGUGGGGAGCAAACAGGAUUAGAUACCCGCGUAGUCCCUGUCUCUUAUAC
Molecule: ribosomal RNA, 301 nt
Filed under: uncultured bacterium
Lineage: Bacteria
Description: partial 16S ribosomal RNA
Rfam family: Bacterial small subunit ribosomal RNA
Source: RNAcentral